This 460-nucleotide ribosomal RNA is filed under the name uncultured bacterium. Its description in RNAcentral is "partial 16S ribosomal RNA". It matches the Rfam family "Bacterial small subunit ribosomal RNA", at positions 338 to 795 of the family's 1533-position model. The record is from RNAcentral.
CCUACGGGGGACAGCAGUGAGGAAUAUUGGUCAAUGGGCGCGAGCCUGAACCAGCCAAGUCGCGUGAGGGAGGACGGCCCUACGGGUUGUAAACCUCUUUUGCCGGGGAGCAACGGGCGCCACGUGUGGCGUCACUGAGAGUACCCGGAGAAAAAGCAUCGGCUAACUCCGUGCCAGCAGCCGCGGUAAUACGGAGGAUGCGAGCGUAAUCCGGAUUUAUUGGGUUAAAGGGGUGCGUAGCCGGAUCGUUAAGUCAGUGGUCAAAUUGAGGGGCUCAACCCCGUACCGCCAUUGAAACUGGCGUUCUUGAGUGGAGGAGAGGUAGGCGGAAUGCGUGGUGUAGCGGUGAAAUGCAUAGAUAUCACGCAGAACCCCGAUUGCGAAGGCAGCAUGCCGGCUUCCGACUGACGCUGAGGCACGAAAGCGUGGGGAGCAAACAGGAUUAGAUACCCCUGUAGUC